Molecule: ribosomal RNA, 465 nt
Filed under: Vreelandella stevensii
Lineage: Bacteria; Pseudomonadati; Pseudomonadota; Gammaproteobacteria; Oceanospirillales; Halomonadaceae
Description: partial 16S ribosomal RNA
Rfam family: Bacterial small subunit ribosomal RNA
Source: RNAcentral
UCUACGGGGGGCUGCAGUGGGGAAUAUUGGACAAUGGGGGCAACCCUGAUCCAGCCAUGCCGCGUGUGUGAAGAAGGCCCUCGGGUUGUAAAGCACUUUCAGUGAGGAAGAACGCCUGGUGGUUAAUACCCAUCAGGAAAGACAUCACUCACAGAAGAAGCACCGGCUAACUCCGUGCCAGCAGCCGCGGUAAUACGGAGGGUGCGAGCGUUAAUCGGAAUUACUGGGCGUAAAGCGCGCGUAGGUGGCUUGAUAAGCCGGUUGUGAAAGCCCCGGGCUCAACCUGGGAACGGCAUCCGGAACUGUCAAGCUAGAGUGCAGGAGAGGAAGGUAGAAUUCCCGGUGUAGCGGUGAAAUGCGUAGAGAUCGGGAGGAAUACCAGUGGCGAAGGCGGCCUUCUGGACUGACACUGACACUGAGGUGCGAAAGCGUGGGUAGCAAACAGGAUUAGAUACCCCUGUAGUC